CGCUAGUUUACUCUUAGCCAUCUGUGGUGACCUUGGGUCUCCUUCAGGGCACCUGGCGGAAAGCACGAAAGCUGGGGAGAUCCUGGAGUCACAGACCAGAUCUGCCUGCCUUUGUCUUGGAAAUUGUGGUUUUAAAAGCAAAUGCCACCCAUGGCUGCUGGUGACAUUUUUGAAAAGCUGUUAUUGUCCGUUGGAGAAGUGUCUAACAAACAAGAUUUGCCACAGUAACAAAAAGGCCGAUGAAAAUUGUUACACUUUGGCUCUUAGAGCUUAGAAGAACAUUGUCUAUUCAGGAACUCCUGACUGUAUGUGUUGGUGGAGGAGGAGGUUUACAGUUUAAUCUACUCAUGAGGUCCAUCUUGUUUGGGAAGAAGAAUGGUUUGUUUACACUCUUGAUUUCCUGACACAAUCCCACUGGUACUGGAUGUCAAAGUAGCUUUUAGGUCCGGCAGCACUGCAGAAAU
RNAcentral lists this long non-coding RNA (464 nucleotides) under Cricetulus griseus (Chinese hamster). RNAcentral describes it as "lncRNA (ENSCGRG00015033865.1)". Lineage: Eukaryota; Metazoa; Chordata; Mammalia; Rodentia; Cricetidae. The record is from RNAcentral.